RNAcentral lists this ribosomal RNA (355 nucleotides) under unidentified. RNAcentral's name for it is "Truplaya (Truplayella) sp. 2 NB-2020 partial 12S ribosomal RNA". The record is from RNAcentral.
UUAAAAAAUAAAAAAAAAUAUUAGAGUAGUAAAAGAUAUAAUCUUAAAACUUAAAAAAUUUGGCGGUGUUUUAUUCUAAUUAGAGGAACCUGUUUUAUAAUUGAUAAUCCACAUUGAAUCUUACUUAAAUUUGUUUAAUUUGUAUAUCAUUGUCGGAAGAAAAUCUUAAAAAAGAAAAAAUUUUCUAAUAUAAUUUUUAUUAUAUAUGUCAGAUCAAGGUGCAGUUUAUAUUUAAGUAAAAAUGGGUUACAAUAAAAUUAUUUAUAAUGAAUUAAAAAUUUAAACAUUUUUAUGAAGGAGGAUUUAAUAGUAAAUAUUUAUAGAUAAAAAUUUUGAUUAUAGUUCUAAAAUGUGU